This 20-nucleotide ribosomal RNA is filed under the name Pseudo-nitzschia calliantha. RNAcentral describes it as "partial large subunit ribosomal RNA". The record is from RNAcentral. Lineage: Eukaryota; Bacillariophyta; Bacillariophyceae; Bacillariales; Bacillariaceae.
CCGGAUCUCAGAUCAAGUNA